This is a long non-coding RNA of Drosophila serrata, 1017 nucleotides long. RefSeq lists it as uncharacterized. The record is from RefSeq and is a predicted model, not a curated record. Lineage: Eukaryota; Metazoa; Arthropoda; Insecta; Diptera; Drosophilidae.
CGUGGACGGCAGCAAAAAAGUAAUUGCGCUCCAGUUUUAGUUUAAUACGAGUGAUUAGUUAGUGGGCAGUGCUUAAAAAUACAUGUGCAUAUCAUUAAAAAAACUUAGACAAACAAAUCCAUCAAAAGGUUGCAGCGAAAGAAGGAAAUAGAGCCAGAAUGCCGAUUUUUUCAUUUUCGCAUAUUCGUUUGCUAAGGCACGCGCAACGAAAACGAAAACGGGUAAAUAAAACGACAAAAAAGUGCUGGACGCGAAAAAAAACGACAUCGGAGCUGAUAUUCGUCGCCCGGGUUUUAAGAGUUUUUAGUUAGAUAAUUUAAUUGGUUUGAUUUGUUUUGCUUAUGAUUUGUGCAAGUGAAAAAAAGGCCCACUAAUUUCCGCGCCGCUGUUCUUGUUGAGAUCGCUAUUCGCGUACAUACAUACAUACACACAGGCAUACAGACACAAGGAAAACCAAAACAAGCCCAAAAGAAACUAAAAGUAAAAAGGAGAAAAGAAUGAGAUAGAACGCUUUCGCCGUUUGGACUCCCGCUACAAGCAACUGAUGCAGAAAGGAUACGGCCAAGCAGGCAGCCAGGCGAGCAAUUGCCGCACUCCGUCUGCUGAGACCUGCUGCAGUUGAUAUUGGUCCCCGACCAACCUCAGCUACGUCCACAGGAUGCCCCGCAGGAUGCUCUCUCUCCUGCAUCCACAGGAUGCUGGCACAAUACAAUUCUCAAGAACCAACAUCUUCGCUGAGGCAGAAAAUUCGUCCACAACAAAAUGAAAUUUUUCCCAUACCCUUUCGGCCUCCGAAAAGGAUAAAAAGUGUCACACACACCAUCGCUUUCUCACUCUCACUGUGCUCUGCUCCUGCUGCGGUUGGCAGUGGCCAUGUCAGAACAGAACAGCGGCACAGGAUUGCAAGGACAACGCAGCAGGCAGAAACAUAAAUCAGGAUUUUCGCAGCCCGAACCACAAAUGUUUUUAAAAGGAUUCAGCGCCCGGCCCGGGCGGCAGCAACAAUAACAACCUUGA